GUCUCGUGCCAGUCAGCACACGAGCCGGCCAGAGGCCGCACGUGCGUGCCGUAGCAGCGGUCUAAUGGGGCAGCCGAGCCACACCACCCUGGCGAGACUGCAGCGAGGAGAACUGCUGGUCUCGUGCCAGUCAGCACACGAGCCGGCCAGAGGCCGCACGUGCGUGCCGUAGCAGCGGUCUAAUGGGGCAGCCGAGCCACACCACCCUGGCGAGACUGCAGCGAGGAGAACUGCUGGUCUCGUGCCAGUCAGCACACGAGCCGGCCAGAGGUCGCACGUGCGUGCCGUAGCAGCGGUCUAAUGGGGCAGCCGAGCCACACCAGCCGGGCGAGGAAGUUCCCACGACUGCUGUGCUUGACCAAGUGCUGCUGAAGAACGGCAAUUUUUCGAAAUACUGACACGCAGAAACGACGUGAGAUUGAAGAAAUGCAUGUCUUGUUAGAUAACCUCCUUUAGUUAACUUCAUUUUUCUAUAUCAUUGUAAAAUAUUAAAGUUUUUUUUAUUUACAUGCAUUGUGGCUCAGAUAUUUAUCAUCCUUCAAUUUAAAAACGUGUAUUUUAGUUAAGUUCACGUAAUGCAUAUAC
Long non-coding RNA from Bacillus rossius redtenbacheri, 585 nucleotides. RefSeq lists it as uncharacterized. The transcript has 4 exons. NCBI's taxonomy places the organism in Eukaryota, Metazoa, Arthropoda, Insecta, Phasmatodea, Bacillidae. The record is from RefSeq and is a predicted model, not a curated record.